Molecule: ribosomal RNA, 689 nt
Filed under: uncultured bacterium
Lineage: Bacteria
Description: bacterial SSU rRNA
Rfam family: Bacterial small subunit ribosomal RNA
Source: RNAcentral
AACGCCGCGUGAGUGAAGAAGGGUUUCGGCUCGUAAAGCUCUGUUGUUAAAGAAGAACGUGGGUGAGAGUAACUGUUCACCCAGUGACGGUAUUUAACCAGAAAGCCACGGCUAACUACGUGCCAGCAGCCGCGGUAAUACGUAGGUGGCAAGCGUUAUCCGGAUUUAUUGGGCGUAAAGCGAGCGCAGGCGGUCUUUUAAGUCUAAUGUGAAAGCCUUCGGCUCAACCGAAGAAGUGCAUUGGAAACUGGGAGACUUGAGUGCAGAAGAGGACAGUGGAACUCCAUGUGUAGCGGUGAAAUGCGUAGAUAUAUGGAAGAACACCAGUGGCGAAGGCGGCUGUCUGGUCUGUAACUGACGCUGAGGCUCGAAAGCAUGGGUAGCGAACAGGAUUAGAUACCCUGGUAGUCCAUGCCGUAAACGAUGAUUACUAAGUGUUGGAGGGUUUCCGCCCUUCAGUGCUGCAGCUAACGCAUUAAGUAAUCCGCCUGGGGAGUACGACCGCAAGGUUGAAACUCAAAAGAAUUGACGGGGGCCCGCACAAGCGGUGGAGCAUGUGGUUUAAUUCGAAGCUACGCGAAGAACCUUACCAGGUCUUGACAUCUUCUGCCAACCUAAGAGAUUAGGCGUUCCCUUCGGGGACAGAAUGACAGGUGGUGCAUGGUUGUCGUCAGCUCGUGUCGUGAGAU